UUGUGGAGGCUUCUUUUGUAUAAUUGUAGCUAUUGAUGUCCAAACUGCAAAGCUCAGCUUUGAGUCUUGUGGAAAUGUUCUUCUCAUAUCCAGAAAGGAGAGCCUCCUUUACCGACUUCUGUUCUAGUUCCAUGUUCUCUCCUUGUUCAGUCCCAUGUUUAGAAUCAGGGGCAAUGCCUGGAAUUGUUAAUUUCACACAGUAAUUGUCAGAAAAUAUGUAAGCUGUAUUUCUGUUCUUAUACAUAUAUUUGUGUAGUUUGAACUUUUCCCUUGAAGGUUGGUUUUGAUGAGACUAGAAUUUCCUAAAGCAAUCAACUGUUCUUGGAAUCAUUAUUUUUCUUCUUUUCUAGGGGAUGUGUGCAAUGUUGAGGUGGAGUGGGCUUUGGUUUGGUUCAUUUACAAGAGACACAAGUUUAAGCACCAACUUCAGUGGACCAAACUGACAUCCCACAAAUGAAUCAAAUAAGAGGAUGAAUGAGUGCUUGGAUUGUACUAUCUUUAGGACCGUCCUUUAAAAAUUUUCAAUGUACACAAGGGACAAGAAACAGUAGAGAAAUUUUAUGAACCGAAGGAAGCUUCCCCUCCCUCCAUAGAAUUCAUAAAUGUUACUGAACCUUUAUGUGAAAAAUCA
Molecule: unclassified non-coding RNA, 631 nt
Filed under: Hevea brasiliensis (rubber tree)
Lineage: Eukaryota; Viridiplantae; Streptophyta; Magnoliopsida; Malpighiales; Euphorbiaceae
Source: RNAcentral